This 987-nucleotide ribosomal RNA is filed under the name Triticum aestivum (bread wheat). Its description in RNAcentral is "partial small subunit ribosomal RNA". The record is from RNAcentral. Lineage: Eukaryota; Viridiplantae; Streptophyta; Magnoliopsida; Poales; Poaceae.
AUGAAGGGUUUGGAGACUUUCAAACUGGGUUAUAUCUGGCAUAUUGGGUCGGGGGAGAAAGUGAAUAUCUGGAACGAUCCAUGGGUUCCAAGCAAUGCAAAUAGAAGGGUGAUCACGCCGCGGGGUCAUACUAUCUUGUCUACAGUUAGCGAUCUCAUUGACCCAAUAAGUGAGAACUGGGACGAGGAUUUGAUUAGAGCCAUCUUUAAUCCGGUCGAUGUCCGAAGGAUACUAGAAAUCCCGUUGAAUCACAAUGCUUUUGAGGAUUUCAUAGCUUGGCACCCGGACCGAAGAGGUAUCUUCUCGGUACGAUCAGCUUACCAUACUCAAUGGAUUCGGACUUUCAGGACACAUGCAAAUGCAUUAGCGCAGCCAAGAAGGUCAAUCACACCACCAGUUUGGAGUAUUCUAUGGAAACUUCAAAUCCCACGUAAAGUUCAAAUUUUCUGCUGGCGGGCACUACAUGGAAUCCUACCUUUAAAAUCCAUUCUCACUAACAGGCACGUUGGCAUACAGGCUGCUUGCCCCAUAUGUCACAAUGCGGCCGAAGAUGUGAGGCACCUAUUGUUUGAUUGUUCCCAUGCUACGGAGAUGUGGACUCGGCUUGGAAUCCUAGAUAUCAUCAAUGAAGCGAAAAGGAUUGAUCGAUCAGGGUCAAUCAUACUAGAACACAUCCUGGUCAGCCCACCGAGACAAGUGCCCGCAAAACCGAACUUGGAUGUGAAACAGAUCAUAGCGGUGGGAGGAUGGUACCUGUGGUGGAUCAGACGUCAGUACACUCAUAAUGGUAAUCCUCCACCAGCAUUCAAAUGGCCUAUAUCGGUCCUUGCUAUAUCUAAUAAUUUCGAUCAGGCAAAUGCGAAGAGAACUGGUUCAGUGCAAGAAAGAUGGGAGAAGCCGGAGCCUAGAUUUGUCAAACUAAAUGUUGAUGCAGCUUUUUAUGUCGAGAAGGUGUGGGAGCAACUGCUGCGGUUAUCAGAGAUGUAA